Helicoverpa zea (corn earworm) is the source of this 374-nucleotide long non-coding RNA. RefSeq lists it as uncharacterized. The transcript is spliced from 3 exons. The record is from RefSeq and is a predicted model, not a curated record. NCBI's taxonomy places the organism in Eukaryota, Metazoa, Arthropoda, Insecta, Lepidoptera, Noctuidae.
UAAUAAUUAAGGUGGUAUUGUUAUAAAGCUUGAAAAAAAAAAUUGGUCUAUUUAAAAGUAAAACAAUAUUUUAAAAUAAUUUUUGUUUGCAAUGCAAAAAUCAAUAUAAAUCUUGUGACGCGCGGUGUUCAACUUUAGUCAGCGCCAGGCGCUUACCGAGGAGGGACGUAUCGCUCGCUGUUGCGCCGCGUAAACUCGCCGGAGUUCGAAAAAUAUAGCGCAACCUACGCAUCUAACACGUUUUGAUACUAGAUAAUGAAAGCAUAUUUAAUUCAGACUAUCAGACUCAAUUGAAUACCAGUACAAAUAAUAUGGAAAAUGAAGAUACAAUACAUGGAAGACGAAUUAUAGAUUUUAGUUUUUUUAUAAAUCAA